RNAcentral lists this ribosomal RNA (497 nucleotides) under uncultured bacterium. RNAcentral describes it as "bacterial SSU rRNA". It matches the Rfam family "Bacterial small subunit ribosomal RNA", at positions 30 to 518 of the family's 1533-position model. The record is from RNAcentral.
AUUGAACGCUGGCGGCAUGCCUUACACAUGCAAGUCGAACGGUAACGGGCCUUCGGGUGCCGACGAGUGGCGAACGGGUGAGUAAUGCAUCGGAACGUACCUUUCAGUGGGGGAUAACGUAGCGAAAGUUACGCUAAUACCGCAUAUUCUGUGAGCAGGAAAGCAGGGGAUCGCAAGACCUUGCGCUGAUUGAGCGGCCGAUGUCAGAUUAGCUAGUUGGUGAGGUAAAGGCUCACCAAAGGCGACGAUCUGUAGCGGGUCUGAGAGGAUGAUCCGCCACACUGGAACUGAGACACGGUCCAGACUCCUACGGGAGGCAGCAGUGGGGAAUUUUGGACAAUGGGGCAACCCUGAUCCAGCCAUGCCGCGUGAGUGAAGAGGGCCUUCGGGUUGUAAAGCUCUUUCGGUCCGGGAAGAAAGUCGUAAUGGGCUAAUAACCCUGUGCGGAUGACGGUACCGGCAUAAGAAGCACGGCUAACUACGUGCCAGCAGCCGAC